CGCGACUGGUUAGAUCUUGUCGUGAUCUCUGGAAAACUGUGACUAUCUCACAUGUCCUGCCCAGCUCGGAUCCCCUGCGCUAACGAGCCAGGCCCCCCUUGAUUGCUGAUUUUACGCUUUUUGGACCAAUUGUGGGUCUCCGGGGGCGGGGUUUUGACAGCUCAGGCCAAGCUCCGGCCGGGAGGGGGGGCCUGGGAGAAGGUGUCGGAAGCCUCAGCAGUAAGAAAACAUGUCAACAGAAUAAAAUAUUAACCAAUGACGGGCCGCCGGGCCCCGAGACCCCUCCUCCUGCCCCGGCCCCCACCGCCCGCCCGCGCCUGCGGCUGCCUGCGCCGGACUGGAGAGCGCGGAGGGCCGACCUGACCCGCCGAAAGGGCCUGAGGCGAGGGGAGCCCGGGUCCCGGGGCCUUGGGGAAGGACCCGCAGCCGCACGCCGGCCCCAAGUGCAAAGCAUUGACACGACCCCGAGCGGAGAGGGGGCGCCCUCCUUCUCCCGCGCCCAGAGGCCCGGCCGCUCUGGCCCGAGCCCCAGCCUGGCCUCCGACCCAGCUCCGGGUCGUGGCGCCGCCUGGGGGUCCCUGCGCCCCGGAAAGAGACAGCAGGCACUGGAAAGCGAGGCCGGUGGGCGGGCGAGUCGGGAGGCUCGGGCGGCCGAGGUCCGGGAGCGGAUCCCAGGUGGCGGGAGCUGGUGAGUGGAGCCAUGGCCGAGCCCUGCUGGGGCCGGCGCGGGCGGGAGCGGGACGCGGCCUUGCGCUGGGGAAACGCGGGGACCCCCUACCCGCGCCCGCCUUCACCGGAAGACUCGGAAGGAACCUGGAGUUCUCCGCAGGCCCGGGCCCCGCCCUGAGCUUUCCAGCGGCCGGGAGGAGCGGAUCCUCGGGGCCAGGAAGGUGCCCUGGCAGGAGGGACUGGCUUAUGCCACCCUGUGCAGGAUCGUCUUCUCAGCUUACAGAGCCUAGUGUGAUUCAACAACCCUCCAUCUCUGCCCCCAACAUGCCCAACUGAUCUGGUGGAGGGAACUGAAGAUGAAGGCCUCUCAGGCACCAUGGAUGGGAUGGGUGUGUGUGAAGGGGGCAGGGUCCCCAGGAGCUGCCCCAGGUCUGGCUGGACAGUUGCACGGGAAGUCCUGUUUGUGAACUCAACGUUUCCACGGCUUUUCCAUUAAACUUUACCCCAAAUCACAC
This 1184-nucleotide long non-coding RNA is filed under the name Homo sapiens (human). RNAcentral describes it as "non-protein coding TBX2-AS1:4". Lineage: Eukaryota; Metazoa; Chordata; Mammalia; Primates; Hominidae. The record is from RNAcentral.